This 406-nucleotide long non-coding RNA is filed under the name Homo sapiens (human). RNAcentral describes it as "HSALNT0381498". The record is from RNAcentral. Lineage: Eukaryota; Metazoa; Chordata; Mammalia; Primates; Hominidae.
UGAAAAGUAAGGCCACUCAGCAAAAUCAGGCAGUGUGUACACAAGGAAGGAAAUGGCAGGCUGUUCAUAUGCAGCAAGAUCCACACUUGGCCAAACCUGGGGUCACAGAGAUGGACAUGGAAUCGAGGGCAGAAGAUCUGGGUUUGAGUCCAGCAGUGCUUUAGAGGGAAGUUUCUGCAAGUUACAUGUCAGCUUUGGAGGAAAUGCAGUCUCCUUUUCACUGCAAAGAAGCUCCUUCCUCAAGGGGAAAGAGACAAUUAGGUUUCAGACUUGGUUAUGGACUGAAUGUUUGUGUCUCCCUAAAUUCAUAUGUCGAAGUCCUAACACUAAUUGAUCGUGUUAGGAGAUGGGACCUUUGGAUGUGACUAGAUGUAGAUGAGAUCAUGAGGGUUGAGGCCCCAUGAUG